AUUCUCCAUCACUUUUCAGAAUCAAUCCUCGGAUCAGCAACAAUUCGUUGUUUCAGUCGGGGAAAUCGCUUUUCAAAGAAGAAUUUAUACCUCGUUGAUUACUAUUCUCGUGUUGCCUUUUCCAACUCUAAUACGAUGGAAUGGCUCUGUGUUCGGAUCAACUUUCCAUUCAACCUCGUCUUCUCUCUUCUUCUGAUCAUCUUGGUCAACCUUCCAAGGUCAGCCAUUGAUCCCAGUAAGCAUCCUUUCCCUUCACUUUCAGCUAUUUGUCAGCAAAAGAUAACAAAAGCAGUCAAGUUUAAUGUACAUCAGUAACGACAACAAAACUACAUGAAUCGAUUCAUUGGUGCAGGCCUGGCAGGACUAGCGGCUACCUAUGGUUUGAAUUUAAAUGUUCUCCAAGCAUGGGUUAUAUGGAACCUUUGCAAUGUAGAGAACAAAAUGAUAUCUGUGGAAAGAAUUCUUCAGUUCACUAAAAUAACCCCUGAAGCUCCACUAGUUCUUGACGAUUGCAGACCAGAAACUGAUUGGCCGUUCAAUGGAAAAGUUGAAAUCGAAAAUCUCCAUGUGCAAUACAGGCCUACUCUUCCUAUAGUUCUCAAAGGGAUCACGUGCACCUUUCCAGGUGAAAAGAAAAUCGGUGUUGUGGGACGAACUGGAAGUGGAAAGUCUACCCUGAUCCAAG
Molecule: long non-coding RNA, 685 nt
Filed under: Olea europaea subsp. europaea
Lineage: Eukaryota; Viridiplantae; Streptophyta; Magnoliopsida; Lamiales; Oleaceae
Source: RNAcentral